GAAUCUUGGACAAUGGGGGGAACCCUGAUCCAGCCAUUCCGCGUGUGCGAUGAAGGCCUUCGGGUUGUAAAGCACUUUUGGCAGGGAAGAAAUUGCGCGGGCUAAUACCCUGCGUGGAUGACGGUACCUGCAGAAUAAGCACCGGCUACCUACGCGCCAGCAGCCGCGGUAAUACGUAGGGUGCAAGCGUUAAACGGAAUUACUGGGCGUAAAGCGUGCGCAGGCGGUUCGGCAAGAAGGAUGUGAAAUCCCAGGGCUUAACCUUGGAACUGCAUUCUUAACUGCCGGGCUAGAGUAUGUCAGAGGGGGGUAGAAUUCCGCGUGUAGCAGUGAAAUGCGUAGAGAUGCGGAGGAAUACCGAUGGCGAAGGCAGCCCCCUGGGAUAAUACUGACGCUCAUGCACGAAAGCGUGGGGAGCAAAC
This 422-nucleotide ribosomal RNA is filed under the name uncultured bacterium. Its description in RNAcentral is "partial 16S ribosomal RNA". It matches the Rfam family "Bacterial small subunit ribosomal RNA", at positions 359 to 773 of the family's 1533-position model. The record is from RNAcentral.